RNAcentral lists this ribosomal RNA (468 nucleotides) under uncultured bacterium. RNAcentral describes it as "partial 16S ribosomal RNA". It matches the Rfam family "Bacterial small subunit ribosomal RNA", at positions 28 to 507 of the family's 1533-position model. The record is from RNAcentral.
GACGAACGCUGGCGGCGUGCUUAACACAUGCAAGUCGAACGGAAAGGCCCUGCUUUUGUGGGGUGCUCGAGUGGCGAACGGGUGAGUAACACGUGAGUAACCUGCCCUUGACUUUGGGAUAACUUCAGGAAACUGGGGCUAAUACCGGAUAGGAGCUCCUGCUCCAUGGUGGGGGUGGGAAAGUUUCGGCGGUUGGGGAUGGACUCGCGGCUUAUCAGCUUGUUGGUGGGGUAGUGGCUUACCAAGGCUGUGACGGGUAGCCGGCCUGAGAGGGUGACCGGCCACAUUGGGACUGAGAUACGGCCCAGACUCCUACGGGAGGCAGCAGUGGGGAAUAUUGCACAAUGGGCGGAAGCCUGAUGCAGCAACGCCGCGUGCGGGAUGACGGCCUGCGGGUUGUAAACCGCUUUCGCCUGUGACGAAGCGUGAGUGACGGUAAUGGGUAAAGAAGCACCGGCUAACUACGUG